CUCGGUGGCUAUGCCGGAGGGGUCACACCCGAUCCCAUCCCGAACUCGGUCGUUAAGCCCUCCAGGGCCGAUGAUACUGCUAGGUUGCCUAGUGGGAAAGUAGGUCGCCGCCGGGG
RNAcentral lists this ribosomal RNA (116 nucleotides) under Deltaproteobacteria bacterium. Lineage: Bacteria; Pseudomonadati; Myxococcota; Myxococcia. The record is from RNAcentral.